GUGCUCGCUUUGGCAGCACAUAUACUAAAACUGGAACGAUCCAGAGAAGAUUAACAUGGCCCCUAAAAAAAAUUCCUAAACAGUACAAUAAUAGAGGUAUGU
This is a small nuclear RNA of Pteronotus mesoamericanus, 102 nucleotides long. NCBI's taxonomy places the organism in Eukaryota, Metazoa, Chordata, Mammalia, Chiroptera, Mormoopidae. The record is from RefSeq and is a predicted model, not a curated record.